Molecule: small nuclear RNA, 102 nt
Organism: Octopus sinensis (East Asian common octopus)
Lineage: Eukaryota; Metazoa; Mollusca; Cephalopoda; Octopoda; Octopodidae
Source: RefSeq, a predicted model, not a curated record
AUAUAUAUAUGUGCAUAUUCUAAAACUGGAACGAUACAGAGAAGCUUAGCGUGGCCCCUGCGCUAGGAUGACACACAACUUCGUGAAGCUCCCCAUGUUUUU